Molecule: unclassified non-coding RNA, 358 nt
Filed under: Hevea brasiliensis (rubber tree)
Lineage: Eukaryota; Viridiplantae; Streptophyta; Magnoliopsida; Malpighiales; Euphorbiaceae
Source: RNAcentral
UAUAUGCACCAGAGAAUUUGCUAAAUAAAGGGAAAAGUGAGCUAAUGGCUAAAUAGCGGAUCUUGCUAUUGUUUUGUUUGUUCUUCUUUGUGCUUUAAUGUCUGGAUUCCUGAUCUUGCUGUAACUGUGAGUGAAACAGCUUAGGACAGAUACAAAAAGCUUGAUGGCUUAUUUGAUGUUCCAUGGUGAUGACUGCCCAGUUAACGGACUUGGUGGCUGCUGCUACCUCAAAGACUGACUGGGCUGCUAACGACACGACUAAGCUACAAAGCUACAAUCGAUUUGUUCCUUAGCAGAUAUUUACAAAAGCUGAUGGCUUAUUUGAAGUUACAUAUGGCUUAUUUGAAGUUAAAUAGUG